GACAUGCAGGUGAUCGCCGUUGAAAGACGGUUUCCUCUUCGGAGGCACCUGCACAGGUGCUGCAUGGCUGUCGUCAGCUCGGUGUCGUGAGAUGUUGGGUUAAGUCCCGCAACGAGCGCAAACCCCUUAUCCCCCAGUUGCCAUCAGGUAAAGCUGGGAACUCUGGGGAGACUGCCGGUGAUAAACCGGAGGAAGGCGGGGAUGACGUCAAGUCCUCAUGGCCCUUACAUCCCGGGCUACACACGUGCUACAAUGGCAGGUACAGAGGGCUGCAAAGCCGCGAGGUAGAGCGAAUCCCAGAAAACCUGUCUCAGUCCGGAUUGAAGUCUGCAACUCGACUUCAUGAAGGCGGAAUCGCUAGUAACCGCGAAUCAGCAGGUCGCGGUGAAUACGUUCCCGGGCCUU
This 405-nucleotide ribosomal RNA is filed under the name uncultured Latescibacterota bacterium. RNAcentral's name for it is "bacterial SSU rRNA". It matches the Rfam family "Bacterial small subunit ribosomal RNA", at positions 983 to 1382 of the family's 1533-position model. Lineage: Bacteria; Pseudomonadati; Candidatus Latescibacterota. The record is from RNAcentral.